GACGAACGCUGGCGGCGUGCUUAACACAUGCAAGUCGAACGGUAAGGCCCUUCGGGGUACACGAGUGGCGAACGGGUGAGUAACACGUGGGUGAUCUGCCCUGCACUUCGGGAUAAGCCUGGGAAACUGGGUCUAAUACCGGAUAGGACUCCGGACUGCAUGGUCUGGGGUGGAAAGCUUUUGCGGUGUGGGAUGGGCCCGCGGCCUAUCAGCUUGUUGGUGGGGUGAUGGCCUACCAAGGCGACGACGGGUAGCCGGCCUGAGAGGGGGACCGGCCACACUGGGACUGAGAUACGGCCCAGACUCCUACGGGAGGCAGCAGUGGGGAAUAUUGCACAAUGGGCGCAAGCCUGAGGCAGCGACGCCGCGUGAGGGAUGACGGCCUUCGGGUUGUAAACCUCUUUCAGCAUCGACGAAGCGAAAGUGACGGUACCUGCAGAAAAAGCACCGGCUAACUACGUGCCAGCCGCCGCCGUAA
Molecule: ribosomal RNA, 478 nt
Filed under: uncultured bacterium
Lineage: Bacteria
Description: partial 16S ribosomal RNA
Rfam family: Bacterial small subunit ribosomal RNA
Source: RNAcentral